This 736-nucleotide long non-coding RNA is filed under the name Phoenix dactylifera (date palm). RNAcentral's name for it is "long non-coding RNA (PDAC_LNC015501)". Lineage: Eukaryota; Viridiplantae; Streptophyta; Magnoliopsida; Arecales; Arecaceae. The record is from RNAcentral.
UGCAGUUUGAUUAAAGGAUUGAAUUGCAUGGUAACUUGCCACUGAAGGGUAUUUUUGGUAUUUCCACCAAAUUCCAUAUUUUUGGGUAGACAUGACACGUUGCUAGACGUCAAUCUUGUCUUAUAGGUUUGAUCGAAUUAAAGAGUUUAAUUCGAUCACCAAUUAGAAAGGAUUCUAAUUGUUAAGUUCGGAUUCGCGCAGUUUGGACUUAAAUCGAUUAGAAGAGUUCUAAUCAAGUUGGGUCAACUCGCACUCACACCUAUUACUGGCUAAGUAUGGAACCCAAUGGGUUACACACAAGAAAACUUAUUAAGGGUCUAAUUGGAUUAGAUCAUGUUUGCAAGAUAGACAUCCUAGCAGGUUCUGCAAACCCUUAGCUCUUGAUUCGAAUUGGAUUCGAAUCUGAUUCUUAAUUGAUCUAAUUUGAUUAGAUCAUGUUCUAAUAUGGGUUAGCCAAGAGUUGGCAUCUAAUUGGCUUGGUUUGAGUCUAAUUGGAUUAGAUUUAAUAAAUCAUUCAAUCUAGACCGUUAGAUCUUGAUCUACCAUUGGAUGAAGACAUAAUGGAGAGUUGGUUUAACCCAAUUGAAUUGGGUUAGAGGAUGACUAUCAUAAUUGACCAUUGGAUCUUAAUCCCACCAUUGGAUGAAGACAUAAUGGGUCAAGUGAAUGGCGCCUUGCAUUGGAGCCCUUAGAUCAUCAUCAUGAAAGAUCAAGAGGUGAGGCGUGAUGGACAUGU